RNAcentral lists this ribosomal RNA (618 nucleotides) under uncultured bacterium. RNAcentral describes it as "bacterial SSU rRNA". It matches the Rfam family "Bacterial small subunit ribosomal RNA", at positions 338 to 956 of the family's 1533-position model. The record is from RNAcentral.
CCUACGGGAGGCAGCAGUGGGGAAUUUUGGACAAUGGGCGAAAGCCUGAUCCAGCAAUGCCGCGUGAGUGAAGAAGGCCUUCGGGUUGUAAAGCUCUUUUGUCAGGGAAGAAACGGUGAAAGCUAAUAUCUUUUGCUAAUGACGGUACCUGAAGAAUAAGCACCGGCUAACUACGUGCCAGCAGCCGCGGUAAUACGUAGGGUGCAAGCGUUAAUCGGAAUUACUGGGCGUAAAGCGUGCGCAGGCGGUUUUGUAAGUCUGAUGUGAAAUCCCCGGGCUCAACCUGGGAAUUGCAUUGGAGACUGCAAGGCUAGAAUCUGGCAGAGGGGGGUAGAAUUCCACGUGUAGCAGUGAAAUGCGUAGAUAUGUGGAGGAACACCGAUGGCGAAGGCAGCCCCCUGGGUCAAGAUUGACGCUCAUGCACGAAAGCGUGGGGAGCAAACAGGAUUAGAUACCCUGGUAGUCCACGCCCUAAACGAUGUCUACUAGUUGUCGGGUCUUAAUUGACUUGGUAACGCAGCUAACGCGUGAAGUAGACCGCCUGGGGAGUACGGUCGCAAGAUUAAAACUCAAAGAUAGUGCGNGAGAGAGCGACGACGGACGACGACGGAGGAGGAG